Triticum aestivum (bread wheat) is the source of this 952-nucleotide long non-coding RNA. RefSeq lists it as uncharacterized. The transcript is spliced from 2 exons. NCBI's taxonomy places the organism in Eukaryota, Viridiplantae, Streptophyta, Magnoliopsida, Poales, Poaceae. The record is from RefSeq and is a predicted model, not a curated record.
GAAAAUUCCCCACUUUAGUUGGAAGCAGUCAGCGGAGAGCGAGCGACCGAUCGGAGAAGCUGCGGAGAAAUUGAGGACAAGGAGGUUGGAGCUCAGAUUUAGCCGAGGAGGAACCGCUGCAAGGCAAGACUGUGCAUAUCAGUCUUCUCUCUCAAACUGAACUUUUAAUAUAUGUUAACAAAUUAAUUGGUUACUAGCAUUAAAGUUUUUACAUAUGAAUAUAAGUGAUGAGCUGGUAAUUAUUAUGCCUGUGAGAACCAUGCGUGCAUGGUUGACGGAUUGAUCGAACGAUGAUGUUUGAAUAAUCUAAGAACGUACACCGUCGUGAUCAUGGUAAGUGUGGUAUAUCAAGCCCGGGGCGGUCGAUACCUGAAAUAACGGUACGCGGCUAAUUUAGUCGGUACUAGUGUGAGAUGGAAGAUACCUCACACAAGUAGGGGACUCGGCGUCGUGAUUCCCGAAGAUAGGUAUUACCAUUGGUGGAGAUUACGACGGUUAUUAGUAUGUCUCUGCAGAGAUUAUUGCUAUAGGUUUGCGCCGGUAUAAUUCCAUCCUGCUCCUGUAAGGUAACAGGAGGCUGAAGCAUCUUUACCUUAUGCACAUUCAACUUGCAACCUACUAAUUCUUGCAUUCUUAUAUUCUUGCUGGGUAUGUCCCAACAUACUCACUAUUGUUUUCCUUUUUCCUCUGAUAUGCACAGAGUGCGCGGGAAGUGGGCAUGGUGAGGAGUUAGAGGAGCAUGAGGAAUAAGUCGACGCCUAGGCCAAGGUGUCAAAAUUAGCAGUCUUUGUUUAAUCCUUAAAUAAAGUCAGUGAAGAAUAAGAGGAAGUGCUAUCAAUACAUGUGCAUAUGCACGUGGUUGAACACUUGGCCUACUAUCUAUUAUUUGGUUAAGUGAGGGUGUAAGCUAUUAUGUAAAGAAUAAGCUGGAAUUAAAGUAUUACUUGUGCCA